This 210-nucleotide ribosomal RNA is filed under the name uncultured bacterium. RNAcentral describes it as "partial 16S ribosomal RNA". It matches the Rfam family "Bacterial small subunit ribosomal RNA", at positions 1283 to 1500 of the family's 1533-position model. The record is from RNAcentral.
CGUUCUCAGUUCGGAUCGGAGUCUGCAACCCGACUCCGUGAAGCUGGAUUCGCUAGUAAUCGCGCAUCAGCCAUGGCGCGGUGAAUACGUUCCCGGGCCUUGUACACACCGCCCGUCAAGCCAUGGGAGCCGGGGGCGCCUGAAGUCCGGGACCGCGAGGACCGGCCUAGGGCGAAACUGGUAACUGGGGCUAAGUCGUAACAAGGUAGC